Molecule: long non-coding RNA, 683 nt
Filed under: Hordeum vulgare
Lineage: Eukaryota; Viridiplantae; Streptophyta; Magnoliopsida; Poales; Poaceae
Description: long non-coding RNA (HVUL_LNC009141)
Source: RNAcentral
AAUUCUCAACCCUUAAACUGUUUUGAGGGUACUACUAGUGAUGCUCUUAUAGACAAAUUGAAUACAAUUCAAGUGGUUGAGGCCUUGAGGGGCUUUCCCCUCCUCCCCCGAUGAAAAUUCAAAAAGAAAAUGUAUGUAAUGAAAGGGGAUCAACCGUAGUGGAGGCGCCGGAACCAAAGCUGCCGACGGUGGGAUAUAUCAUCGAGAGUCCAAUCCAUGUGAGAACUUGACUAGUCUUAAAAGAUGGUAGAUAGCCUACAGGAAGAGAGUAACAAACACAUCUGUGGUUGUGAGGAAGAUUCCGUUAGGCGAGGCAACGGACACAUUUGUGGUUGUGAGGAAGAUUCCGUUAGGCAAGACGAUCAGCCAUCCAAAUUCUUUUCCAGAUCACAAGCCACAUGAAAAACUUACAUUACAUCGAAGGCCUCUCCGUCAUCGUGGGUGGCUGGUGAGCAAUCCAGGGUUGAGGUAAGGUAACUGAGGACUAGCUCCUCCGGUGAGAGGGGUUUGAUUUCGACUAGCAAUCGAACUUGUGCACCGCUUUUCAUCAGAGUUCUAAUGCAUCCAUGAGGAGAUAAGCUCUGUUAGUAGGUACUACGUAGUAUGUACUCCCUGCACAGUUAGUACAAAGUUGAGUCACUUAUUUCGGAACGGAGGGAGUAUACCAUAACUUGUUUGAAUUC